CCUACGGGAGGCUGCAGUAGGGAAUCUUCCACAAUGGGCGCAAGCCUGAUGGAGCAACACCGCGUGAGUGAAGAAGGGUUUCGGCUCGUAAAGCUCUGUUGUAGGAGAAGAACGUGCGUGAGAGUAACUGUUCACGCAGUGACGGUAUCAAACCAGAAAGUAACGGAUAACUACGUGCCAGGAGCCGCGGUAAUAAGUAGGUGGCAAGCGUUAUCCGGAUUUAUGGGGCGGAAAGCGAGGGAGGGCGGUUGGUUAGGUCUGAUGUGAAAGCCUUCGGCUUAACCGAAGAAGUGCAUCGGAAACCGGGCGACUUGAGUGCAGCAGAGGACAGUGGAACUCCAUGUGUAGCGGUGGAAGUCGUAGAUAUAUGGAAGACCACCAGUGGCGAAGGCGGCUGUCUGGUCUGCAACUGACGCUGAGGCUCGAAAGCAUGGGUAGCGAACAGGAUUAGAUACCCGAGUAGUC
RNAcentral lists this ribosomal RNA (465 nucleotides) under uncultured bacterium. RNAcentral's name for it is "partial 16S ribosomal RNA". It matches the Rfam family "Bacterial small subunit ribosomal RNA", at positions 338 to 795 of the family's 1533-position model. The record is from RNAcentral.